This is a non-coding RNA of Danio rerio (zebrafish), 490 nucleotides long. Ensembl annotates it as chemokine (C-C motif) ligand 33, duplicate 3. Its record names the gene ccl33.3. NCBI's taxonomy places the organism in Eukaryota, Metazoa, Chordata, Actinopteri, Cypriniformes, Danionidae. The record is from Ensembl.
ACAUCAACAGUCAUCUACAGUUAUCUCACUUUUACAUCUGCAAGAGAUCACAAAUCAUGAGGGCUUCAUCUGUGUUUCUGCUGCUUGGACUGACGGUCCUUAUGGCCUGGACCUCUGAGGCUCAGCCUGCAAUUCCCGAACCCUGUUGCUUCAAUUUCAUUGACUUUCCAAUCCCAGCCAACAAAGUAGUGAGUGCCGUGAGAACAGUUUCACGCUGUGCUGUUAAAGGCAUUGUGGUUACGACACCUAGAACCCAGUUUUGUGUGAAACCAGAUGAAGACUGGAUAAAGCCCAUAAUGGAAAAACAGCAAUAAAAACCACAACACAAUAAUGUGCAUAUAUAAUACUGUUUCUGCUUAAUGCAACUGUCCUUUAUUAUUUCUUCUCAUUUUUCUUAUCUUAUUUUUUCAAGUAUUUGUUCCUUAAUAUAACAGAGUUUUUUUCAUUUUGUGCUCAAUACGUGCAAAUAAACAAUAAAAAGAUUAUACCU